This 439-nucleotide ribosomal RNA is filed under the name uncultured bacterium. Its description in RNAcentral is "partial 16S ribosomal RNA". It matches the Rfam family "Bacterial small subunit ribosomal RNA", at positions 338 to 795 of the family's 1533-position model. The record is from RNAcentral.
CCUACGGGAGGCAGCAGUGGGGAAUAUUGCACAAUGGGGGAAACCCUGAUGCAGCGACGCCGCGUGAGUGAAGAAGUAUUUCGGUAUGUAAAGCUCUAUCAGCAGGGAAGAAAAUGACGGUACCUGAUUAAGCAUCCCCGGCCACCUACGUGCCAGCAGCCGCGUUAAUACGGGGGAUGCGAGCGUUAUCCGGUUUUAUUGGGUUAAACGUGGGCGCAGGCGGAAGAUAAAGUCAGCGGUAAAAUUGAGAGGCUCAACCUCUUCGAGCCGUUGAAACUGGUUUUCUUGAGUGAGCGAGAGGUAUGCGGAAUGCGUGGUGUAGCGGUGAAAUGCAUAGAUAUCACGCAGAACUCCGAUUGCGAAGGCAGCAUACCGGCGCUCAACUGACGCUCAUGCACGAAAGUGUGGGUAGCGAACAGGAUUAGAUACCCCGGUAGUC